AUGGGGAAGAGGCCGAGGUCGACACGGCCGCCUCCCGCGGCUGGCCUCCACAAGUCCAAGCGGGCCAGCGAGGCGGCGGCGGCGGCGAUCUCCGACUCCGACGACGACGAGAUCGACGCCUUCCACAAGCAGCGGGACGUCAUCCCCCUCGACGUCGACGACUCGAGGGACUCGGAGGAGGAUGCUUUGGUGAUGCCUAUCUACGACGUCGAGGGCGUUUCCGACGAUGAGAGCGAUGACAGCGAAGGAGGCGAGGACGGCGAUGAAAGCGAAGAUGGCAGCGAAGGAGGCGAGGACGGCGACGCGCACGCAGGUGAUGUUGAGGUAUGGGACAAGUCAUAUACUGCAAAAAUCAAGAGAGCGCAGAGGGCAGCCAAACAGGCUGCCGGGGAUGAUGGCAGCGCGGAGGAGGAUGAGGAACCGGAGGAUGAUCCAAAGAACUGGGGUACAGGGAAGAAAACAUACUAUGAUGAUCAUGAGCAAGAUGCUGAUGAUGUUGAGUUUGAUGAGCUAAGGAGGCUGCAGGCAGAGAAUAAGCUGUCAAUGAAAGAUUUCGGAUUGGAAGAUGAUGAAAGUGAUGAAGAGGAUAAUAAGCCCUCAAAGGCAUCCGGCCAUCAAGUGAAGCUUGCUGAUGAGGCAUCCCCUCUUGAAAGCUACACGAAGCUGAGGGAAGAUUUUGCUGUCCUGUCAAAAGAUGAGAAGAUGGAUGUAGUGUACAGCUCAGCUCCUGAACUGGUUGGAUUACUGGCUGAUUUGAAUGAUGCCCACGAACAGCUGAAGGCAAUAGGGCCAGUCACCAAUGAGUUGGCAGCUGGGCAAGGCAAGAAUAAGGGUAAAAUGCAGCCAUUGGAGGUGAAGCGAGCUUGUCUGUUGGCUCAUUGUCAAUCCAUUACCUUCUACCUCCUUAUGAGAGCAGAGGGACUGUCUGUGCAGGAUCAUCCUGUAAUUGCUCGGCUGGUAGAGACCAAGAACAUGGUGCAAAAGCUGGCAAAUAUAAAUCUUCCGAACCAAGAUGGGGACACUGAAGACCAUUUUAUGCCUGAUAGCAGCACCCUUGAUGAGGUGAACAAGGCAGUCUCUCUAGAGAAUGAGGGAAAAUCUAGCAAUUUACUAGAUAUGGACAAAGUAAAACAGGGUGCUGAAGUAGCCGAAUUGACAAAGAAUAAGCCUUCUAAGGGGCACCAUGAAAUUGCAAAAAGGAAGGGCAAGGAUGAGCAUAUGGGCUUGCAAAGCAUUGAAAUGUUGAAAAGAAGAGCAAUCCUUGAGGAGGGGUUGAAGCAAAAAGGGCUGUCUAAGUUGAAGCCAAAGUUGUCAAAAACCUUGGCAACCAAUAGUAGGAAAAAACUGCAGACAUUGGAUGACUUUGAUGAUGAAGUGCAGAAAAAUAGUCAAGUGGUCAAACCUACAAAGCUCCUGGUUAAUGCAGCUGGCUCAGUUAGAAACAAGUUUGUUUCUGGUGAUGAUGACAUUCCAAAGCGAGAUGAGAUUGGUGAAAGACGCCGAAAGCAUGAACUACGUGUUCUUGCUCGUAUAGGAACCAAUUCACGUGAAGAUGAUGAGUUGCCAGAAGAUGGUGGUCAUACUGAAGAGAAGCUCAGCCAAUCCAGUGAGGAAGAUGGUGAUGAUCAUGAAUCUUCAGGGUCUGAAGAUGAAUUCUACAAAGAUAUCAAGAGGCAGAGGACCGAAAAGCGCAUGGGCAAAGAACAGAGCACCCCUGCUACUGAGCUGGAGGAAGAAAGCGAAGGAGAUGGCAAGAGGAAGAUUUCGCGGCAGAUAGAGAAGAACCGAGGGCUGACACGCUCCAGAAACAAGCAACUCAAGAAUCCACGUAAGAAAUACAGGAUCAAGAGUGAUAAACAUAGUAAAAGGAGGCAAGGUCAAGUCCGCAGCACGAAGAAGCCCUCUGGUCCCUACGGAGGUGAACUGUCUGGCAUCAAUGCAAACGUCAGCCGUAGUGUUAGGUUCAAGAGUUGA
This 1974-nucleotide ribosomal RNA is filed under the name Triticum aestivum (bread wheat). RNAcentral's name for it is "partial small subunit ribosomal RNA". Lineage: Eukaryota; Viridiplantae; Streptophyta; Magnoliopsida; Poales; Poaceae. The record is from RNAcentral.